RNAcentral lists this ribosomal RNA (469 nucleotides) under Lacticaseibacillus rhamnosus. RNAcentral describes it as "bacterial SSU rRNA". It matches the Rfam family "Bacterial small subunit ribosomal RNA", at positions 28 to 466 of the family's 1533-position model. The record is from RNAcentral. Lineage: Bacteria; Bacillati; Bacillota; Bacilli; Lactobacillales; Lactobacillaceae.
GAUGAACGCUGGCGGCGUGCCUAAUACAUGCAAGUCGAACGAGUUCUGAUUAUUGAAAGGUGCUUGCAUCUUGAUUUUAAUUUUGAACGAGUGGCGGACGGGUGAGUAACACGUGGGUAACCUGCCCUUAAGUGGGGGAUAACAUUUGGAAACAGAUGCUAAUACCGCAUAAAUCCAAGAACCGCAUGGUUCUUGGCUGAAAGAUGGCGUAAGCUAUCGCUUUUGGAUGGACCCGCGGCGUAUUAGCUAGUUGGUGAGGUAACGGCUCACCAAGGCAAUGAUACGUAGCCGAACUGAGAGGUUGAUCGGCCACAUUGGGACUGAGACACGGCCCAAACUCCUACGGGAGGCAGCAGUAGGGAAUCUUCCACAAUGGACGCAAGUCUGAUGGAGCAACGCCGCGUGAGUGAAGAAGGCUUUCGGGUCGUAAAACUCUGUUGUUGGAGAAGAAUGGUCGGCAGAGUAACUG